This 877-nucleotide non-coding RNA is filed under the name Branchiostoma belcheri (Belcher's lancelet). Its description in RNAcentral is "partial 12S ribosomal RNA". It matches the Rfam family "Microsporidia small subunit ribosomal RNA". The record is from RNAcentral. Lineage: Eukaryota; Metazoa; Chordata; Leptocardii; Amphioxiformes; Branchiostomatidae.
UUAUGCAGAUUUGAUUCUGGUUUCUAUCAUGAGGUGAUCUUUGAUGAUACAUGCUAGUCGUGCGUUCUAGUGAGGGAAGAGUGCAUUUAAAGUUUAACAUUAAAUGUGCAUUAAGGCUUAAGAUUGGUUAUUUGUUUUGUGUAUUCCACUCCAUAAUGGUUAUAGCAGUACUUAAUAUUGUGUGAGGCGUGCAAGCGUGCUCCAGCAGAGGUUAAAAGAAAAUGUUAUACGUGGCAAAGAUUGUGCCAGCCGCCGCGGUUAUACCUGAACGUAGUCUUAUGAUACAUAUAAGUGUGAGUUAAAGGUCAAAGCUUGAAGAUGAUAGGUAAUUAAAAUCGCUUAAGAGGUGUGGUCGCAUACAUUUCUCUUUAGGAGAUUUCAAUUUUGUAAAUUACAUGAAAUAAAGAACUAAACCAGGAUUAGAGACCCUGCUAUACUUUAUUAGUUAACAUUUGGUAAGUAUAAAUGUUGUUUGAAAACCAAAGAUUUUGGCAGUGAAUAAGAUCUAGUCAGAGGAGUUUGUUUUGUAAAAUCGAUAAUCCGCGAGAAUCUCACUUUAAUUUGUUAUUCAGCUUAUAUACCGCCGUCGUCAGCUAAUACUGGAAAGGGUUAGAAAUUAGCUAGAAGAAUGAGUUCUUUACGUCAGGUCAGGGUGUAGCUUAUAUUAAAGGUCAGGAUGAAUUACAGUUAUUGUUAAAUAUCAGAUACUAGUGGUGAAAUCUCUAGUUGAAGUUGGAUUUGAUAGUAAUCAAUCAUUAUUGUGGUUUGUUGAUUAUAGCUCUUAUUUAUGCACACACCGCCCGUCAUUUUCCUGAAUAGAUAAGGGAAAAAAGUCGUAACAAGGUAGGGCAUCUGGAAAGAUCCCCUGGGUAAUUAG